Non-coding RNA from Pelobates cultripes (western spadefoot toad), 370 nucleotides. The record is from the annotation of a GenBank genome assembly. Lineage: Eukaryota; Metazoa; Chordata; Amphibia; Anura; Pelobatidae.
CAAACUUGAAGUCAAAACGUUUAAAUUGAGAAAUAGUUACAACCUAUUUUGGUCUAAAAUUUCAUAAUAAAAAAUAUCAACUGUUUCAAAAAAAAAAAAUUGAAGUGAAAAGAAUGUAAAACGGAUCAAUCGAUGAGAAUGAUUAAGAAAAUGUUAUAUUGUUGUAAGAUGCAGGCUGAUUAACUGAUUUACUUAUCUACCAACAUACAUCCAGGGCUGGAAUUCCCUGGAGACAGACUGGGCACCUGCCUACAGACACAUGCCCGCUUGAGGAUGCCACCCUGCCUAUUACAAGUCCCCUCCUCACCUCUUGCAUGGUGCCUGCUGCUGUCUAACUGGAUCAAAGGCUGCUGGACUUAGGAAUCACAAU